RNAcentral lists this long non-coding RNA (247 nucleotides) under Fukomys damarensis (Damara mole-rat). RNAcentral describes it as "lncRNA (ENSFDAG00000022586.1)". The record is from RNAcentral. Lineage: Eukaryota; Metazoa; Chordata; Mammalia; Rodentia; Bathyergidae.
AGAAAUCUAACACGCCGACUUUUGUUUUAUGGUUAUUGGCCAAACGUCUCUUCUUCUGGAGCUGCUUCAAGCUGACAGAGAGGCGAAGGCGUUGCCUGCUGUCUGAGAUGGGAGUGAUCACUGCAGUCCACCCCACGGCUCACACAAGAAUCAAGGUUAUCUGGACACAUGGAACAGAGAAGUGUGGCAAGAAUUAGCAGUUAGUGGAACACUUGGCACAGUCUUCCCAUUGGAGGUGCACCCGGGG